AAAAAGUUAAACGGUGUCCGAUUAAUACAUUCGUAAUGAGUAAGUCGCGGGUUCGAGUCCCGCUUUCGGCU
RNAcentral lists this transfer RNA (71 nucleotides) under Caudoviricetes sp. RNAcentral's name for it is "tRNA-Thr". Lineage: Duplodnaviria; Heunggongvirae; Uroviricota; Caudoviricetes. The record is from RNAcentral.